Molecule: ribosomal RNA, 446 nt
Filed under: uncultured bacterium
Lineage: Bacteria
Description: bacterial SSU rRNA
Rfam family: Bacterial small subunit ribosomal RNA
Source: RNAcentral
UGGGGAAUUUUGGACAAUGGGGGCAACCCUGAUCCAGCCAUGCCGCGUGAGUGAAGAAGGCCUUCGGGUUGUAAAGCUCUUUCGGCCGGGAAGAAAUCGCUCAAGCUAAUACCUUGGGUGGAUGACGGUACCGGAAGAAGAAGCACCGGCUAACUACGUGCCAGCAGCCGCGGUAAUACGUAGGGUGCGAGCGUUAAUCGGAAUUACUGGGCGUAAAGCGUGCGCAGGCGGAAUGGAAAGUCAGUGGUGAAAUCCUACAGCUUAACUGUAGAACUGCCUUUGAUACUUUCAUUCUUGAGUUCGGGAGAGAGAGACGGAAUUCCAGGUGUAGUGGUGAAAUACGUAGAUAUCUGGAAGAACACCAGUUGCGAAGGCGGUCUCUUGGUCCGAUACUGACGCUGGGGCGCGAAAGCGUGGGGAGCAAACAGGAUUAGAUACCCCAGUAG